CAAAGGUGCCACUGCAUGCGACCAGCGAGUGGCUAACCUUUGCCGAAAAGGGGGGGUAAACCCGUUAACCCCCCUCCGUGUUGGGGAUGGGGGUUUGCAUUUUUUCCCCUUAACGAAGAAAUCCCAAGAAGGCGGGGGUCAAAAGCUCGGGUUAAUUACUUCCCUGCCCUUUGAACACACCGAAA
This 185-nucleotide ribosomal RNA is filed under the name uncultured eukaryote. RNAcentral's name for it is "partial 18S ribosomal RNA". It matches the Rfam family "Eukaryotic small subunit ribosomal RNA", at positions 1492 to 1674 of the family's 1831-position model. The record is from RNAcentral.